GGCUGCAAUGACGUCAUGCAGUUAACCUGCAUUGGGGCGGGUCCUUAAGGAAUUGUUAACAUUCGGAGCUGUGGCUGUCACCUCCAAGGAGACCCCGGUGCCCUUCUCAGCAGGAUCUGUGCAGGGAUGUGUUGCGGGACAAUCAGAGGAACCUGGCCUGCCUUGGUUGGGACAGUAGGUCUGAAAUCAAACAGACAAUCCCAAAGCUGGACAUUUCUUUGGAGGAAUUAAG
Long non-coding RNA from Sarcophilus harrisii (Tasmanian devil), 232 nucleotides. RefSeq lists it as uncharacterized. The transcript has 3 exons. The record is from RefSeq and is a predicted model, not a curated record. NCBI's taxonomy places the organism in Eukaryota, Metazoa, Chordata, Mammalia, Dasyuromorphia, Dasyuridae.